Molecule: long non-coding RNA, 1238 nt
Organism: Mercenaria mercenaria
Lineage: Eukaryota; Metazoa; Mollusca; Bivalvia; Venerida; Veneridae
Exons: 2
Source: RefSeq, a predicted model, not a curated record
CGGUGACAGUUUUACGCAUGAAUAUUUUGAGUAUGAACAGGGUCAAAAAGAAUAAUUGUUAAAGAUAGGUUAAAACAAUGUUGUGAGUUUUGACAUAAGAUUGGUGCUAAUGAUUUUAUACUGGAUACAAUCAAAAUGUUUCUCUGACGAAAUAGAAGAUUUUGACGAAAUAGAAGAUUUACCAGAUGUUUUGGUCGAUAAGGUGACCUGGAUCCCAGAACUACUGAAGGAAGCUCGUGCCGACACUACCACCAAAUGUUACAAUCGAGGUUUUAUUCGGUGGAGGAAAUGGGCCUUGAGUAAUUCUUUGGGAGAAAAGGACAUCUUUCCGGCCAAGCCAUCCAUUUUUGGUAUAUAUUUGUGUUCUAUCGUUCAAUCUUCAAAUUCAUUCAGUGCUGUAUCAAAAUCAUAUUAUAGUGUUAAAUGGAUGCAUGAAUUAUAUGGCUUGACAUCGCCUACAGUGAUUCAUCGUUAGUAAAAAACAUAUUAGAAGCUGCUAAACGAAAGCUUUCUAAGAAAAGUGCGAAGAAAGAACCAAUGACUCCUGUUAUGUUGCUUAGAAUGUUCAAUAGUCUUUAUCAGGAAAACAAUAUCAAGAAUCAGAGAAUUAUUUGCGCAUGUUUGUUAGCAUACGCAGGGUUUUUGAGAAGUGAAGAAUUACUUAAGAUUAGACGUUCCGAUAUAGUAUUCCACUCCACAUAUAUCAAUAUAUUUAUUGAAUCAAGCAAAACUGACGUUUAUAGAGAUGGAAAUUGGGUAACAAUUUCUUGCACAGGUGCUAUGUUGUGUCCUGUAGUAAAUUUACAGCGAUAUCUCUGAUUCUGACAUUUAUAUAUUUUGUGGAAUGUCAAAAUGCAAAAAUGGAUAUAAGUUAAGGGAUAUGAAUAAACCCAUUUCGUAUACAACUUUGAGAGAACUGUUUAUUGAAGCGUUUAAAUAUCAUGUUUCGGAUAUUUCUAAAUUCGGACUUCAUAGCCUGCGCUCCGGGGGCGCAACUGCAGCCGCGAAUAACGGCAUUAAGGACAGACUUUUUAAGAGACAUGGAAGGUGGCGUAGUGAAAACGCCAAAGAUGGUUAUAUUAAAGACUGUUUAUCUGAAAGACUUUCUGUUUCUCAGAAUUUGGGUUUAUAAACUUUGAAUUAGAUUUCAAGCACAUGGUAUUAUUUUGUAACUUAUAGUUUCCCGUUCUUUGAUUCAUCGUGCCCAAGUGCUCAUUACAUAUUAUACAAUAUAUGAA